Molecule: unclassified non-coding RNA, 305 nt
Filed under: plant metagenome
Description: partial contains 5.8S ribosomal RNA, internal transcribed spacer 2, and large subunit ribosomal RNA
Rfam family: 5.8S ribosomal RNA (bases 1-105)
Source: RNAcentral
GAAAUGCGAUAAGUAAUGUGAAUUGCAGAAUUCAGUGAAUCAUCGAAUCUUUGAACGCACAUUGCGCCUGCCAGUAUUCUGGCGGGCAUGCCUGUUCGAGCGUCAUUUCAACCAUCAAGCCCCCGGCUUGUGUUGGGGACCUGCGGCUGCCCGCAGGCCCUGAAAAACAGUGGCGGGCUCGCUGUCACACCGAGCGUAGUAGCAUACAUUCUCGCUCAGGGCGUGCUGCGGGUUCCGGCCGUUAAACGACCUUCAUAACCCAAGGUUGACCUCGGAUCAGGUAGGAAGACCCGCUGAACUUAAGC